CUUCAGCGAUCCGAUCCGCAGCGGCUCCGCGCGAUCCUGCCCGUACGCGGCGAUCAACGCCUGCGCCUC
The sequence is a non-coding RNA, 69 nucleotides long. It matches the Rfam family "ASpks TB sRNA". The record is from Rfam.